AACAAUAACACUAAGCCUCUUAUUUAUUUCAAUAAAAAUAACAACAAUAACACAAACUUUUAACAUAACUCAACAAAAAUAACAUUAACUUAUCUAAACAAAUACAACAAUAUAACUCAACAAAAACAAUAACAAUAACACAUAACUUUGACUUAUCUCAACAAAAACAACAAUAUAACUCAACAAAACAACAACAAAACUCAAUAAAUACAACAACAAUAACACAAACAUUUUGUGAAACCUUG
Molecule: long non-coding RNA, 245 nt
Filed under: Lathyrus oleraceus (garden pea)
Lineage: Eukaryota; Viridiplantae; Streptophyta; Magnoliopsida; Fabales; Fabaceae
Description: Pisum sativum (pea) long non-coding RNA (PSAT_LNC010021)
Source: RNAcentral